GGAACAUUCUGUGUUAAGAUAUAUGAUUUUCAACCUUGUUAAAAGAAAUAUUGAAAGAGGGAAAUUGAUUUUUUUUCCCCAGAAAAUUUGCCUGUCACCCUCCAAGAUAAGUUACUGUUAUGUGUGUCCAUUAAAUAAGUUUAUUAUAUGAAAAGUCACACUCUAAGAAAAAAAAUUCAGUCAGCAUCGACUUCCAGGAUUCAUGCAGUCGUUUAAUUCAAAGAAUCAAGGUUAACUGAGCCGAUUCUCAUUAAUGUGCAAUCGAACUAGCUAUGGAAUGGGUAGCAUAGAGAAUAGGAACAAGUUAUACCCUCAUUAGGGAAAGUGUGUUGGUCACCUCAGAGACGGAUUCUUGGGAAUACUGUAAUCACAGAAAGAGUAAAUAAAAGUAGUGUUAUAUAAAUCUGGCAGUAGUAAGCAUAUGUGCUAAAUGUCUGGUAAAAGAGCAUGCAAUAUUUGGUAGAAGAGAUCAGUGAGAGAACGAGGUCAUAUUUUAAAGUGGAAGAAAACAUCUAAUCCAAAGAUUUUCAAACUGUUUCCACAAAGCCGUGUGUGCCACGGAGAUAUCUGGGGACGGAGGAAGAGGGGAAGGGAGGCUGAGUGGAUGGCUUGUUCUCCCUACCCAGCUGCAUCCUCUUUCAACCACAGGAGCUCUGCUUUCACGUGUGUUCUGUACUGAGAUGAUCACGAGUGCAUUUGAAAAAACAAGGAACUCAGAGCCUAAAUAAUGUGUCUUAGGUGAGUUCUCUCAGAAGAUGACCCAGAAAGUGAUUCCUAAAAAGGACCAAGAAGUAUAACUUGUGGAACUCAGAAGAGAAGAAAGUAUUAUGUCAUGAAGUGAAUAAGUGAAGAGAAAUAGACCUAAGAGUAUCCUUUAGUAAGUCUGAGGCGAAAAGAACAAGUUCUCCAUCUUUGGAAUUAAGGAGCGAGGAGUUAUUCCCAGAAGGCCAAGAGAAUGAGAAGAAGCGUUAUUGGUCUAUUCAAGAUUUUUCACCCUUCCUUGAGCCAAGUUUGAGAAAUUUUACUGUCCUAGAAAUUCAUCAAAUGUGUGGAGACUUUCGAACUUAUUAACAAAUAAUGAUCAUGUCAUCUGGCCAUGAAGCAGUUUUUAAGUAUUCUUCUGGAUCUUAGCUAGCAUUGUACAUUGAACUACUCUACAGAUAAAUCUCUGAUUUAUUUUCAUAACAAAAAGCAGCUCGCAUUCAACAGAGAAGCCACGAAAAGCACACAGAAAAUCCCAAUGGAAAAAAAUCUCCAAAGUUCACUUGUGAAUCUACUGUCUAAAGACAAUU
RNAcentral lists this long non-coding RNA (1292 nucleotides) under Equus asinus (donkey). Its description in RNAcentral is "lncRNA (ENSEASG00005032248.1)". The record is from RNAcentral. Lineage: Eukaryota; Metazoa; Chordata; Mammalia; Perissodactyla; Equidae.